RNAcentral lists this long non-coding RNA (494 nucleotides) under Homo sapiens (human). RNAcentral's name for it is "novel transcript". Lineage: Eukaryota; Metazoa; Chordata; Mammalia; Primates; Hominidae. The record is from RNAcentral.
GGGAUGGAGGGGUUGGCAGCAGCACAGCAUAGCAGAAUUUUCUGAUUCACUACCACUGCUGGUGUUACAGCGUGAACGUGACCUGAAGACAAAAAGGCUGUACAGAAUCAUUGUCACUUCCACAGGAGGGGUUUCGGCGACGCGUGUAAGGGAACUUUGGCGACUUAGUGCGAUCACUGGGAGAAUUGUAGAGUCCACUGGAGAGAAAGAAAAAUGGUCAAAAAGAGCCCAGAGAGUUCCUGGGGGAAAACACACCGCAGCCCAGACCUAUUCAUAACUGCACAGCUGGUACUUCCAGAGGCACAUGCACCAGGGGCACGUGGUUCUCUUUGCUGACAAGAUUUAUUAAAAGAAAAGAGGAAAGAACUAUUCUAAAAUGGACCCUCCCUCCAAAAAAGCCCAAACAGCCAAAGCAAUUCUAAGCAGAAAGAACAAAGCUGGAGGCAUCACACUACCUGACUUCAAACUGUACUACAAGGCUACAGUAACAAAAA